Molecule: ribosomal RNA, 499 nt
Filed under: uncultured bacterium
Lineage: Bacteria
Description: partial 16S ribosomal RNA
Rfam family: Bacterial small subunit ribosomal RNA
Source: RNAcentral
GACGAACGCUGGCGGCGUGCUUAACACAUGCAAGUCGAACGGGCCCGCUCUCUUUUUUGGGGGUGGGUUGAGUGGCGAACGGGUGAGUAUCACGUGAGUAACCUGCCCCCUGCUCCUGGAUAACUGCUUGAAAGGGCGGCUAAUACGGGGUGUGCCGGCUGGUCCGCAUGGGCCUGGUCGGGAUAGUUUCAUCUUCGGGUGUUUCGGUGGGGGAUGGGCUCGAGGCCUAUCAGCUUGUUGGUGGGGUGAUGGCCCACCAAGGCGGUGACGGGUAGCCGGCCUGAGAGGGUGGGCGGCCACACUGGGACUGAGACACGGCCCAGACUCCUGCGGGAGGCAGCAGUGGGGGGUAUUGCACAAUGGGCGGAAGCCGGAUGCAGCGACGUCGCGUGAGGGAUGGAGGCCUUCGGGUUGUGAACCUCUUUCUCCGGUGGUGAAGGCCCUGUCCGUUGCGGCGGGGUUGACGGUAGCCGGGUAUGAAGCGCCGGCUAACUACGUG